Molecule: ribosomal RNA, 381 nt
Filed under: Triticum aestivum (bread wheat)
Lineage: Eukaryota; Viridiplantae; Streptophyta; Magnoliopsida; Poales; Poaceae
Description: partial small subunit ribosomal RNA
Source: RNAcentral
AUGGUUAUAAAUCCCCUGCGUCGUUACCUGGCCCAACCCCGUUGCUCGACCGCCAAUGCUCCCAUGCCCCCUUGUGUCGCAUGCAUCCAAGCACCGCGGUCCCAAACUUUCAGCAUUCCUAGCACCUCACAUCUCUUAAUAUGCACUCUCCACCUCAAAACCCAUGUCCACGAGUACUCACGGAUGUUGCUGAUACUUGUUGCUGAUAUGAGUGUGCGCAAAAUAUUGGAGGUGAUGAAGAAGGUGCGUCUAAUGCAUGCAGAUGAUUUGGCUCUGAAGUGUAGCUCAUUUGAUGCAGGAGAAAUUAUGGUGUGUUGUGUCAUAUACAUAGCCUUAUUUUCGAAGCAACACCAUAUACGAGCAUAUGCUCCACAAAACUAA